GACAAACGCUGGCGGCGUGCAUAAAACAUGCAAGUCGAACGGACUUCAGUCCGCAAGGACUGAAGUGAGUGGCGAACGGCUGAGUAACACGUAGGUGACCUGCCCCGAAGUUUGGGAUAACACCUCGAAAGAGGUGCUAAUACCGGAUGUGACCACCGAUUCAUUUCGGUGCUUAAAGUCGCAAGACGCUUUGGGAGGGGCCUGCGGCGGAUUAGCUAGUUGGUGUGGAACGGCACACCAAGGCUUCGAUCCGUAGCUGGUCUGAGAGGAUGGGCCAGCCAGACUGGGACUGAGACACGGCCCAGACUCCUACGGGAGGCAGCAGUUAGGAAUUUGCGCAAUGGAGGAAACUCUGACGCAGCCACGCCGCGUGAGGGAUGAAGGCCUCGGGUCGUAACC
Molecule: ribosomal RNA, 399 nt
Filed under: uncultured bacterium
Lineage: Bacteria
Description: bacterial SSU rRNA
Rfam family: Bacterial small subunit ribosomal RNA
Source: RNAcentral